This is a long non-coding RNA of Xiphophorus maculatus (southern platyfish), 973 nucleotides long. RefSeq lists it as uncharacterized. The transcript is spliced from 4 exons. The record is from RefSeq and is a predicted model, not a curated record. Lineage: Eukaryota; Metazoa; Chordata; Actinopteri; Cyprinodontiformes; Poeciliidae.
CACAUAAAGUGGGUAUGCCACUUUAAGAGAAGAGGUUAAGGAAGCUGGGUGGUCUGCCUGGCCAAUGAGAAGUUUGGUUUCCAGAGCGUCUGGACCAAUCAGGGUGCAGGCUGCCGUUGUGGAUCCCGCCCUUCUCCCCCGGGUCUGCAGUACCGUUGGUUUUGCUCUAGAGAUCCGACGCGGUGAGACUGCUGAGCGGGGCAGCGCCAGAAGCCGUUAGGAAUCGUUGGCUCUUUCUGGCAGUUAUUUCAGCUUGUUCUUCGUAGAUAAAAGUGCCCCACGCAUCCGGAUUGAGACCCACUAUACGGUUGUCUGAAGUGUGUCGCACUGAGAUCGGUCAGGUUUUUUUUAUACUGGAUCAUUCCUGAAGUGGAUCCCUCCUUUGAUAUUGAUGGCGAGCCUUCCCACCUGGACCUAAAGAGAGAACCAGAUUUCGUCUAUCCCAUUUGGAGUCAUGCUGCACCCUGCGGUGUGGUAGGAGAGCAACAUACAUCUUCACACACGGUUAUGUGUGAAACCUACAACAGACAUUCUCCAUUAUUAUUGUUUUUUUUAUUUAUUGAUUUUUGGACAAUACUGUUUGGAUUGUUUUAUUUCGGACAUUGUGACGCACAGCUGUGGUGGAAAUUCUCCUGUGAAUGAAGUUGAAUCAAACCAAAUUGGGAUUAAUUUGAUUAAUCUGCUGACUAAUACAAUUUGGAGUGCAGAUUACCAGGGUGCACCCGAAUUAUUUGAAAUUAAGAAUUAGCACUUGGCCAAGUAUUAUUGUUAUUUCUUUUUUUUUUCAUUUUAUUGUGUGUAAUUUUAUUUUCAUAAUUGUGUGUUUUGUGCAACUGUUAAUUGUGUGUUUUCUGUCACUAAAACCAGUUCUUUAAAUACACCCAACUGCCCUUGUGUGUCAUUUAAACACUCCACUGUGCUCCGAUAGCCGAACCUAUUGGCCCAUUUAUCCAAAAUAUAUGUAAUACCCUUC